UAGCGUAGGGGGCAAGCGUUGUCCGGAAUUAUUGGGCGUAAAGCGCGCGCAGGCGGUCAUUUAAGUCUGGUGUUUGAAUCCUGGGGCCUCAACCCCAGUUCGCAUUCGGAAACUGGAUGACUUGAGUGUAGGAGAGGAAAGUGGAAUUCCACGUGAUAGCGGUGAAAUGCGUAGAGAUGUGGAGGAACACCAGUGGCGAAGGCGAACUUUCUGGCCUAUAACUGACGCUGAG
RNAcentral lists this ribosomal RNA (232 nucleotides) under uncultured bacterium. RNAcentral's name for it is "partial 16S ribosomal RNA". It matches the Rfam family "Bacterial small subunit ribosomal RNA", at positions 523 to 750 of the family's 1533-position model. The record is from RNAcentral.